AUCCAACUGACGAGUCCCAACCAGGACGAAACACGCGUCCUGAAU
RNAcentral lists this non-coding RNA (45 nucleotides) under Schistosoma margrebowiei. The record is from RNAcentral. Lineage: Eukaryota; Metazoa; Platyhelminthes; Trematoda; Strigeidida; Schistosomatidae.